UACGGAGGGGGCUAGCGUUGUUCGGAAUUACUGGGCGUAAAGAGCUCGUAGGUGGUUUGUCGCGUUGUUCGUGAAAACUCACAGCUUAACUGUGGGCGUGCGGGCGAUACGGGCAGACUGGAGUACUGCAGGGGAGACUGGAAUUCCUGGUGUAGCGGUGGAAUGCGCAGAUAUCAGGAGGAACACCGGUGGCGAAGGCGGGUCUCUGGGCAGUAACUGACGCUGAGGAGCGAAAGCGUGGGGAGCGAACAGG
Molecule: ribosomal RNA, 253 nt
Filed under: uncultured bacterium
Lineage: Bacteria
Description: partial 16S ribosomal RNA
Rfam family: Bacterial small subunit ribosomal RNA
Source: RNAcentral